AGACACCUUGGUGCCAAUUUAGGGAUUUCACCCCUGCCACAACUCAUUGCGGUUCUUGAACAUCAAUUGCCAUGGUUCAAUGCGACCUUUCGGUACUCGUCAGUUCCCAUCUCCCCUAUAACCUAAUGUUCGAUUCUUAAUGCUUCCAUCAAUGGCGAUGAAUCUCAUCUCCCAUCUAGCCUGUUUUUCGAUAUUUACCUCAAUCGACCAGAUCUUGUGAGAUGGAUAGAUGGUUCAAAAAAUCUAGGGCUCAAUGUCAGAACCGCAAGGUGAAAACGAAGAUUAAAGUUGAUUUGAGAUCCACCCACGAAGAUUCAGAAACAGAUUUGAUUACAAGACCCUAAAAUCGUUCAAGUUGAAGGCUUUAGUCCUGAAUUGGAGAAUCAAUAUGGAGAGAAAGUGAAGCAAAAACCGCUUUUAGAAACCAUGGUUUAUAUUUUUCGUUUUAUAAGCUUUCACAUCAAGAACGCUAAGUGAAACGUUCUUCAGAAAAGCAAGAAACCAUGGCCGCAGUCUCUCAAUUGCAAGGGCAGUUUAUCGAGUACACAACAUCUCUGUAUGUGAGGGAUAUCUUGAUGAUCAAUUCACACAACUUCAGAAACUGCAAGACGAGAGCAACCCGGACUUUGUGGCUGAACUGGUGUCCCUUUUUUUGAAGACUCCAAAAAGCUUCUUAACAAUUUUGCAACUGCUCUAUAAGUUUGUUUUUUAUAACCGAUCAGAGACCUUUUCUCAAGGCAUGCUAGAUGCUCAUGAUCUGUUUCCUAUCAUGAUCUUUCUUUUGACCAAAAAAGUCAACAGAAGAUUGUGGAUUAUAAGCAGGUUGAUUCUCAUGUUCAUCAGUUCAAGGGUAGCAGUUCCAGGUAUUAUGCCCAUAAAAUAGUGUUUCUUCAUUAUCAUUUUAAACAAAUAAGAUUUAUUUAUUUAUUAUGAUUUAAAUUUUUUUGGGCAAUUUGUCAUAACAGCAUAGGGGCGCAGUAUUCACUUCAGAAACUGCUGUGAGGAGAAAAACCUUGAUGGAUGAGUAACUAUUUGAUGAUUGUUUCUCUGUUAGAUUAUAGAAGCCAAAUUUUCUGAAAUCAGUCACCAUUUGAUAAAUUUAUAUAGUCAAAUACGUAAUUAUUAUGUAUUCUUUAUAAAUUUUUAACACCGAUUCUUUUCUUACUGAUAUUAGUUCUUAUACGCAAAUACCGAAUUUCUCUCCAAAGUUAAAUGUGUCGGUAUCAAUCCUAGAAUUAAAAGUUGUUUGUUUGACCUUCAAAGUCAAAGAAUCAAAUAUCUAAUACUAUCAAUAGCUGAAUUAUAAUUUUGAUGGCAUGUGGUGGCUGCAGGUGUUUGUGGUGUCUGCAGCAAGUGAAACACGAAUACAUUCUCGUUAGGAACAAGCUUGAAGCCUUGUUUAGGCUGGCAUGUACUCAUGUGAAUGAAAGUUCCAAGAGAAGAAGCUAUCUGUGACCCCACCCAUCCCGCCUUUGGACCUGCCACACUCCUUAUCGUGUCUCCCAGUCACAUGCGUUAUGUGAGGAAUCGGAAGUAAAGCUAACCUUUUGAUUGGUAUUGCAAUGUUUGAGGCUGGUUUUAAGAAGUCUAUGCGUGAUUUUCUUGGUUUAGAGUAUUUGUCAUGUGCUCUGUUAGGGUUUUGGAUGGACCAGUUCGUUUUUUGUUUUUGUGUUAGGUUUUUAGGAGCAUAACGGAAUACUGGAAUAAUUCACACGGUAUAGUGGAAUAUACCUCAUUGUUGGGCGACUGGUUACUUUUAGAUUUGAAAAUUAUUGGUUUUUGCACUUCUUUUAGAAAUAGAACAAUAAGGUAUUCUACGGG
Helianthus annuus (common sunflower) is the source of this 1821-nucleotide long non-coding RNA. RefSeq lists it as uncharacterized. Lineage: Eukaryota; Viridiplantae; Streptophyta; Magnoliopsida; Asterales; Asteraceae. The record is from RefSeq and is a predicted model, not a curated record. The transcript is spliced from 6 exons.